GCAGUUAGUCAGACGACUGCACUACGUGUGAGGAAAGUCCGAGCAUCACAGGGCAGAGUGGCAGAGAAAUCCUGCCGAAGGCAACUUUAGGGAAAGUGCAACAGAAAAUAACCGCGUUUAUACGCAAGGGUGAAAAGGUGCGGUAAGAGCGCACCGGCAGUUCGGCGACGAAAUUGGCCGUGUAAACCCCACUCGAUGCAAGAGAAAAGGGACUAUGGAUUGCCCGUCCGUCCCCUCAAUCGCUAGAACCCAUAGGCGACUAUGGGUCAAGACAGAUGGUCGUCUAAUACAGAACUCGGCUUACAGACUAACUCAAAAA
RNAcentral lists this RNase P RNA (319 nucleotides) under Clostridia bacterium. Its description in RNAcentral is "RNase P RNA component class A". It matches the Rfam family "Bacterial RNase P class A". Rfam says of the family: Ribonuclease P (RNase P) is a ubiquitous endoribonuclease, found in archaea, bacteria and eukarya as well as chloroplasts and mitochondria. Its best characterised activity is the generation of mature 5'-ends of tRNAs by cleaving the 5'-leader elements of precursor-tRNAs. Lineage: Bacteria; Bacillati; Bacillota; Clostridia. The record is from RNAcentral.